This 591-nucleotide ribosomal RNA is filed under the name uncultured bacterium. RNAcentral describes it as "bacterial SSU rRNA". It matches the Rfam family "Bacterial small subunit ribosomal RNA", at positions 1 to 590 of the family's 1533-position model. The record is from RNAcentral.
GCCCUUAGAGUUUGAUCCUGGCUCAGAUUGAACGCUGGCGGCAUGCCUUACACAUGCAAGUCGAACGGUAACAGGUCUUCGGAUGCUGACGAGUGGCGAACGGGUGAGUAAUACAUCGGAACGUGCCCGAUCGUGGGGGAUAACGAGGCGAAAGCUUUGCUAAUACCGCAUACGAUCUACGGAUGAAAGCGGGGGAUCUUCGGACCUCGCGCGGACGGAGCGGCCGAUGGCAGAUUAGGUAGUUGGUGGGAUAAAAGCUUACCAAGCCGACGAUCUGUAGCUGGUCUGAGAGGAUGAUCAGCCACACUGGGACUGAGACACGGCCCAGACUCCUACGGGAGGCAGCAGUGGGGAAUUUUGGACAAUGGGCGAAAGCCUGAUCCAGCCAUGCCGCGUGCAGGAUGAAGGCCUUCGGGUUGUAAACUGCUUUUGUACGGAACGAAAAGCCUCUUUCUAAUAAAGAGGGGUCAUGACGGUACCGUAAGAAUAAGCACCGGCUAACUACGUGCCAGCAGCCGCGGUAAUACGUAGGGUGCAAGCGUUAAUCGGAAUUACUGGGCGUAAAGCGUGCGCAGGCGGUUUUGUAAGACA